Molecule: ribosomal RNA, 504 nt
Filed under: uncultured bacterium
Lineage: Bacteria
Description: partial 16S ribosomal RNA
Rfam family: Bacterial small subunit ribosomal RNA
Source: RNAcentral
AUUGAACGCUGGCGGCAGGCCUAACACAUGCAAGUCGAACGGUAGCACAGAGAGCUUGCUCUCGGGUGACGAGUGGCGGACGGGUGAGUAAUGUCUGGGAAACUGCCCGAUGGAGGGGGAUAACUACUGGAAACGGUAGCUAAUACCGCAUAACGUCGCAAGACCAAAGUGGGGGACCUUCGGGCCUCACACCAUCGGAUGUGCCCAGAUGGGAUUAGCUAGUAGGUGGGGUAAUGGCUCACCUAGGCGACGAUCCCUAGCUGGUCUGAGAGGAUGACCAGCCACACGGGAACUGAGACACGGUCCAGACUCCUACGGGAGGCAGCAGUGGGGAAUAUUGCACAAUGGGCGCAAGCCUGAUGCAGCCAUGCCGCGUGUAUGAAGAAGGCCUUCGGGUUGUAAAGUACUUUCAGCGGGGAGGAAGGCGGUGGAGUUAAUAACUUCACCGAUUGACGUUACCCGCAGAAGAAGCACCGGCUAACUCCGUGCCAGCCGCCGCCGUAA